CCUACGGGAGGCAGCAGUGAGGAAUAUUGGUCAAUGGACGAGAGUCUGAACCAGCCAAGUAGCGUGAAGGAUGACUGCCCUAUGGGUUGUAAACUUCUUUUAUAUGGGAAUAAAAUGUUCCACGUGUGGGAUUUUGUAUGUACCAUAUGAAUAAGGAUCGGCUAACUCCGUGCCAGCAGCCGCGGUAAUACGGAGGAUCCGAGCGUUAUCCGGAUUUAUUGGGUUUAAAGGGAGCGUAGGUGGAUUGUUAAGUCAGUUGUGAAAGUUUGCGGCUGAACCGUAAAAUUGCAGUUGAAACUGGCAGUCUUGAGUACAGUAGAGGUGGGCGGAAUUCGUGGUGUAGCGGUGAAAUGCUUAGAUAUCACGAAGAACUCCGAUUGCGAAGGCAGUUCACUGGACUGCAACUGACACUGAGGCUCGAAAGUGUGGGUAUCAAACAGGAUUAGAUACCCGUGUAGUC
This 460-nucleotide ribosomal RNA is filed under the name uncultured bacterium. RNAcentral's name for it is "partial 16S ribosomal RNA". It matches the Rfam family "Bacterial small subunit ribosomal RNA", at positions 338 to 795 of the family's 1533-position model. The record is from RNAcentral.